RNAcentral lists this small RNA (1233 nucleotides) under Pongo abelii (Sumatran orangutan). RNAcentral describes it as "retained intron". The record is from RNAcentral. Lineage: Eukaryota; Metazoa; Chordata; Mammalia; Primates; Hominidae.
AGAAGCGGAGGAGGUGGCACCCGGGACCGAGCUGGGGUCUUGGAGGAAGAGAGGAUGGCAUCGUCGAGCCCUGACUCCCCAUGUUCCUGCGACUGCUUUGUCUCCGUGCCCCCGGCCUCAGCCAUCCCGGCUGUGAUCUUUGCCAAGAACUCGGACCGACCCCGGGACGAGGUGCAGGAGGUGGUGUUUGUCCCCGCAGGCACUCACACUCCUGGGAGCCGGCUCCAGGUGGGUUAGACUUUAUGGGGUGCUGGGAGGUGUGGCAGAUCUCUGCAUUCUUUUAAGACCUUCUUCCCUGCUCCCCACACCUGAGAGGCUGCCAGAAGUAGUGGAAGUGCAUGAGCUUUAGGUCUACCAACCUGGCCUGAGCCCAUUAUGUAGCCUCAGUCUACCUCAGUUUCCUCUUCUGUCAAAUGGGAAUGAGACCUUCCUCAAACGGAUCUAUAAGGUGAUUGGCAGAGUGCCAGCACUUGAGGGGCCGCCCCUCUAUGAGUGGACGCUUUCUUUCUCCUCCCUCACCUCCAGUGCACCUACAUUGAAGUGGAACAGGUGUCGAAGACGCACGCUGUGAUUCUGAGCCGUCCUUCUUGGCUAUGGGGGGCUGAGAUGGGCGCCAACGAGCAUGGUGUCUGCAUUGGCAACGAGGCUGUGUGGACGAAGGAGCCAGUUGGGGAGGGGGAAGCCCUGCUGGGCAUGGACCUACUCAGGUGCAGACCCUGCCCUUCCUCAUCUGCCUGACACACCAGAAAUCUGGGGGCUGAGUUUUGACCUGGGCCCAUCCAUCCCUCCCCCAGCCUGGUUCACAGGGGCCUCCUCCUCUCUGCAGACUUUGCCCUUGUGCCUUCGUGAGGAAGGCUGCAGCAGCAGCCACCUUUGGGCCUCUCCUGGCCCAGAAAUAGAGCAGUGGUUAUUUAUUUUCAGUUGAAAUCUCACGUAGAGUCCCGAUUUAUAAAGCCAGUAAUAGUGGAUGGAGCAGCUCUGGGUGGAGAGAGGUUGGGGGCUCAGGACACUUCUCUCUCUGAAACUGUGUUUCAGGCCUUUUCAUGGAAUCCUCAAAGCAUAGCACAUGGAACCAGAGCAUUGAAAGCCAGUGGCAUAAUUGCGUUUGAUACGAUCAGUGCCAGCAGAUUUGCUGUGUGACUUGGGCCUAUCACCAAACCUCUCCGGGCCUCUUCUGUCCCCUGGAACUUCUGCCACCAGUCAUUGAUCCCUCUGUCACCCUUCUGUCCCUUG